RNAcentral lists this ribosomal RNA (447 nucleotides) under uncultured bacterium. Its description in RNAcentral is "bacterial SSU rRNA". It matches the Rfam family "Bacterial small subunit ribosomal RNA", at positions 355 to 825 of the family's 1533-position model. The record is from RNAcentral.
UCGGGAAUUUUGGGCAAUGGGCGAAAGCCUGACCCAGCAACGCCGCGUGAAGGAUGAAGUAUUUCGGUAUGUAAACUUCGAAAGAAUAGGAAGAAUAAAUGACGGUACUAUUUAUAAGGUCCGGCUAACUACGUGCCAGCAGCCGCGGUAAUACGUAGGGUGCAAGCGUUAAUCGGAAUUACUGGGCGUAAAGCGUGCGCAGGCGGUUGUGUAAGUCAGAUGUGAAAUCCCCGGGCUCAACCUGGGAAUUGCAUUUGAGACUGCACGGCUAGAGUGUGUCAGAGGGGGGUAGAAUUCCACGUGUAGCAGUGAAAUGCGUAGAUAUGUGGAGGAAUACCGAUGGCGAAGGCAGCCCCCUGGGAUAACACUGACGCUCAUGCACGAAAGCGUGGGGAGCAAACAGGAUUAGAUACCCCUGUAGUCCCUGAGCGGGCUGGCAAGGCGCAU